Molecule: long non-coding RNA, 2498 nt
Filed under: Capsicum annuum
Lineage: Eukaryota; Viridiplantae; Streptophyta; Magnoliopsida; Solanales; Solanaceae
Description: long non-coding RNA (CANN_LNC013857)
Source: RNAcentral
GGGAACAUCAUUUUUCCCCUAUGCCAAAAAACAGUCGGCCAUUCCCCUUUCCCUCUCACCGAUCUCUCAAUUCUCCCCCUUCCCUUUCUCUCUCCACCACGGUGAGCCAACCCUGGCGAGCCAACCUCUGACGCCCAGAGACAUCGAUAACCUCCACCACCUUCAUCAGUGAAUCCACCCAACCCGACACUCCUUCUAUCUCCUUUCCCCCUCUCUUUUUACCCCAAGCCGCGGCUGCUCCACUAUUUUUCGGUCGGCGAGCCAUCAAUCUUCUAUCGUUUCUACGAACUUUGGCCAACCAUGGCCGAUGAUAACCAACACCACCAGCCACUACUCCAGUCAGCCGCCACGUAACUUCUCCGACCACAUUCCAGCGAGAGAACCACUGAGCCACCACCAUCUUCCUUCCAUCUCUUUCCCCUCUCCAUGCUUUCUCCUUCCUUCUACCAAACAACUACUGACAACCACAACAGCCGCCCAUUUCUUCCUCUUCUCUGGAAAAGUUCAGAGCCGCCGCCACCGACUUUUACUAUUUCUCGCCCUCUCUCCUCCUCUCUUUGUUCAAAAUUUAAAAAUCCAAGAUUAGCUCUUCUACGACGAACUUUGGAGAAAUCCGACAAGAUGAGCAACACAAAUGGAUGUGCUAAUCAUUUCUCACGACUAAAUUUUGGGAUGAUCACAAUAGCUUUGGAUUCACUCAAUUUAUUUUUUGAUUUUCAUUGAAUCUUAAAGAAUUAUCCAUCUCGGGUAUGAUUUUCUCUAUGCUUGAUUACUAUCAUCUCCAAUUUCUUGCUUUGGGCAGAUUCUUGGUUGUUAGAUUUGUGCAUUUUGUUUAAGUUGUCGUGAUUCUUAUUUGUUUACCUCUUUCAACCAUAAUAUGUGAAAAUCCCAAAUUCUCAUGAAAGUAAUCUUAGCGAGAGUUUGUUUCCUGCUUAGAUUAACUUGAUUAUUACUUGUCCGAGGCCUUUGAUUAUUUGCUUUUUCCCAUAAAGUAUGCUUGUAACAACAUUGGUGGUUUUAUUUUGGUCAUUCAAAGCAAUAUAUGUUCAAUACGUGCGUUAUUCUAUCUUUAGUAAAUUUUGAUUGCUAUAAUAAUUUUGGUAAGCUUAGAUUGAUUUUGGGCUUGGUUGAUUCAUUCACUAUAAUUGAGGGUACUUCUUAUCAGCUCAGUGGUUUUGAUUAUUGACUUUCAUUUAACGAUGCGGACAACCUAGUAUGUGAUUGCUUGUGAUAAGUUCUCAGUGAUUUUCUUUCUUUUCCUUUAGCAAAUGUGACUACUUCGUAUGGUAACUUGAGAUUUUACUUACCUUUGAUUGAUACAAUUUGUUCUGUUUAAAGAAAUUAUAGUGCGACUGGUGAUUCUUUCCUAUUUGAUGCCUUAAUUGAUUAAUUCCUUUAGCUAUAUAAACAACACCUUUCUUCAUUAUUUUGGACAGAGUUUUGACCCUUACUAUUACUGACUUUUUACACUGAACAAUAUUUACUCUGCUCUAGACACAUAAAAUAUCUCUUUUGCUUUUGGUCUUGAGACUUCGACUACUACUAUUACGAUAGAUUUUUACUUUGAAAAGCACGGUUUUCUUAUUUAUGUUUUAUUACUUUCACUUCUAAUCGGUUAGUUUUUUCUAACGAUGCAUUAGUUUCUUUUUCUAUUAAUUCUAUGUGAUUAUGAUUUUGUUUUUGUUUGCGUAUUUUAAAUGCUUGAUGUCAUAAGCCUUCUACUCGUUUUUGUGCAUUUCCAAUAUCAAUUGGGUGUUUAUGCUAUUUUCUUUUGUCAACGUGACAUGUUUUGUACCUCUAUUUGCAAUUAAAUAUUUUUCCCACUGGAGUGUUUGUUGUAUGUAAAUUCAAAACGACCUUUCUGCAUCUCAUAACCUUUUUGGCGUGAUUCUUAGGAUCUCAACAGAGCCAAGGGUUGGUUGUGUGUUGUCAAAGAUAUGUUGUGGAUUCGGGAAGUAUUAUAGUGUCUUUGCUUCUGUUCGCAGGUUAAAAGGCAACCAUUCAGAGGAGAGUUCGUUUGGAAUUUUGUGAUUUUGGAGAUUUUCUAAUCUUUUCUUUAUUAUGCCUUGUUUAUAUUUUAUUUAUUUAUUUAUUAUAUUGGUCUGUAAUAUAUGUAUAAACACUGAUAUAUAUAAUGGAAAACGGGGAUUGCUCAUGGGGGGACGAGAUUAUAUGACCUGAAUAUUUGAUAACAAUUGCUUUAUCACUUAGGCAAUAAUUCUAGGAUCAUCAAUUAAAUUCUAUCUCCUAGAAGUCAUGUUUUAGGAUUUCUAAUUAACACACAACAUAUAAAAAUUAAUUUUAAGCAUGUCAAUUUAAUUUAUAGCAUGUUUAGUUAAUUUUCACAUAUUUUUAUCCAUUUUUGCAUAUUUAGUAAUUUUUUCUGCACAUUCAAAGUUUUUAUUCUGUCAUUAUUAAUUUUUUGCACUUUAAGAUAAACUACAUUUUAAACAUUUUUUGUGCAUUGUUUAAUUAAAUUUCUGAGCAGUUCAAUUAUU